GAUGAACGCUGGCGGCGUGCCUAAUACAUGCAAGUCGAGCGAACGGACGAGAAGCUUGCUUCUCUGAUGUUAGCGGCGGACGGGUGAGUAACACGUGGAUAACCUACCUAUAAGACUGGGAUAACUUCGGGAAACCGGAGCUAAUACCGGAUAAUAUUUUGAACCGCAUGGUUCAAAAGUGAAAGACGGUCUUGCUGUCACUUAUAGAUGGAUCCGCGCUGCAUUAGCUAGUUGGUAAGGUAACGGCUUACCAAGGCAACGAUGCAUAGCCGACCUGAGAGGGUGAUCGGCCACACUGGAACUGAGACACGGUCCAGACUCCUACGGGAGGCAGCAGUAGGGAAUCUUCCGCAAUGGGCGAAAGCCUGACGGAGCAACGCCGCGUGAGUGAUGAAGGUCUUCGGAUCGUAAAACUCCGUUAUUAGGGAAGAACAAAUGUGUAAGUAACUAUGCACGUCUUGACGGUACCUAAUCAGAAAGCCACGGCUAACUACGUG
Molecule: ribosomal RNA, 497 nt
Filed under: uncultured bacterium
Lineage: Bacteria
Description: partial 16S ribosomal RNA
Rfam family: Bacterial small subunit ribosomal RNA
Source: RNAcentral